GGCGAAGAUCUAGAGGCUUUCUGUGA
This 26-nucleotide non-coding RNA is filed under the name Rattus norvegicus (Norway rat). Lineage: Eukaryota; Metazoa; Chordata; Mammalia; Rodentia; Muridae. The record is from RNAcentral.